GGACGAACGCUGGCGGCGUGACUUAACACAUGCAAGUCGAGCGGUAAGGGCCCUUUCGGGGGUACACGAGCGGCGAACGGGUGAGUAACACGUGGGUGACCUGCCCUCAGCUCUGGGAUAAGCCUGGGAAACCGGGUCUAAUACUGGAUAUGACUCCAUGACGCAUGUUGUGGGGUGGAAAGCCUUGUGCGGCUGAGGAUGGGCCCGCGGCCUAUCAGCUUGUUGGUGGGGUGANGGCCUACCAAGGCGACGACGGGUAGCCGGCCUGAGAGGGCGACCGGCCACACUGGGACUGAGACACGGCCCAGACUCCUACGGGAGGCAGCAGUGGGGAAUCUUGCGCAAUGGGCGAAAGCCUGACGCAGCGACGCCGCGUGAGGGAUGACGGCCU
Molecule: ribosomal RNA, 391 nt
Filed under: uncultured bacterium
Lineage: Bacteria
Description: bacterial SSU rRNA
Rfam family: Bacterial small subunit ribosomal RNA
Source: RNAcentral